This is a long non-coding RNA of Oncorhynchus keta (chum salmon), 5423 nucleotides long. RefSeq lists it as uncharacterized. NCBI's taxonomy places the organism in Eukaryota, Metazoa, Chordata, Actinopteri, Salmoniformes, Salmonidae. The record is from RefSeq and is a predicted model, not a curated record. The transcript is spliced from 5 exons.
UAGAAAAUAGUAAAAAUUAAAGAAAAACCCUUGAAUGUGUAGGUGUCUCCAAACUUUUGACUGGUACUUCAUAUUUCAUGGUGAAGAGAUGUUGAAUGUUCCUGAAUGAUGCGCCAUGAUCAAUUUUUGACAAUAUGACCGAGCCGCGCAGAUUACCAUUCGAUUUGAGUAGCCCGGGCUAGCGGUUCAACCCGGGCAGGUUAAUCCAAUUCUCUCAGUCAGAAAUCGCAAAAAAGUCGUCCAUCACCAUAUGGUAACCGCCCUCUGGCCACCAUAAUCCUAACUUUUUCAACUAUUCGUUCCGUUUCCGUUAAAUUCAACGUUGCACCCCUUUCUGUCUACACUACAGUACGUGAUUCAAUGAAGCAACGUUGGCACACCAGGGGUGUAUAUCUUACGCUGAUUCUGUUGCAAAACGUUUCUUAGACGGAAGCAAACGGAACAAAACGGAAAGGAAUCUACCUGAAUUUGUUUAAUAUAAAUUCAAAUGUUGCAUCUGUUUGCACUAAUGAUUACUCCCCAAAGUUGCGGCCAGGACGCUCGUUCUCCUUUGCUGAACGGAAGAUUUCUUCCCGAUACUCUGCUAUAGUCUUCUCUACGGCCCCGAAUAUCUCCACAGCAGCCGCCGACAAACGCUCGGUGGGAUGGACCGGAAACCCAGUGACAACACUUGGGUCUGUAGCUGCCCUUUUCCGGUGGGAAAAAGAAAAGGCCCUGUAUUUACCAGAAAGGGUAGCUCAUCCACCAUGGCAGAAGAUGAAGAUCCAGACUGUUGAUUGGGAAACAAGAACAAACAAUAAGGCAUGAGGAUUGGGUGUUGAGUAUGAGAAACAAUUUGUUUUCUGUCCAGAUACAUAUGGUGAUACAGCAUUGAAAAAUACCCACCACUGACCAUGUCUCUUUGUUUUCCAGUCCAACAGGAAUGGAUCCCUCAGUCCAUCCAGUGCAUGGACAUCCCGUGCCAGUGUGAUCCGGUUGUGGAGACUACAGCAGGACAAGCCUGUAGACAGACAGACAUGAUAUGCGGAACAUCAGGCUCACCCCACGAGAAGCAGUGCAUGGUCAACGCCGCCCUCAGCAAGGAGAUCUGCUGGAAGUGAUGUACUUUCUCGCUCUGGUGGUAAGACAUAAUUUAAACAUCACAGAUAUAAAUUCCCACUGUGCCCAUGAUGAAAUGCAACUGUGAAUUGUGCUGUACUACUGAAUGAAACAGGAAAUGCACUCAGACCAGCCUUUGUAAUUGAACUUACGUUAACUACAAUACUUUAGUUGGCUGCUUUGAGCAAAACUUGUACGGUGCAUUCAAAGUAUUCCUACCCCUUGACUUUUUCCACAUUUUGUUAUGUUACAGCCAUACUCUAUAAUGGAUUAAAUUGUCCCCCCCCCCUGAAUCUCCACACAAUAGCCCAUAAUGACAAAGCAAAAACAGGUUUGUUUAAAAUGUUGAAAUAUCACAUUUACAUAAGUAUUCAGACCCAUUAUUCAGGACUUUGCUGAAGCACCUUUGGCAGCGAUUACAUCCUCGAGUUAUCUUGGGUAUGAAGCUUGGCACACCUGUAUUUAGGGAGAUUCUCCUAUUCUUCUCUGCUGAUCCUCUCAAGCUCUCAGGUAAUGGAUGGAGAGAGUCACUGCACAGCUAUUUUCAGGACUCUCCAGAGAUGUUUGAUCGGGUUCAAAUCCGGGCUCUGGCUGGGCCACUCAAGGACAUUCGGGCUGAGGUCCUGAUGGAAGGUGAACCGUCACCCCAGUCUGAGGUCCUGAGCACUCCGGAGCAGGUUUUUAUCAAGGAUGUCUCUGUACUUUACUUCAUUCAUCUUCCCCUCGAUCCUGACUAGUCUCCCAGUUACUGCCGCUGAAACACAUGCCCACAGCAUGAUGCUGCCACCACCAUGCUUCACCGUAGGGAUGGUGCCAGGUUUCCUCCAGAUGUGACACUUGGCAUUCAGGCCAAAGAGUUCAAUCUUGGUUUCAUCAGACCAGAGAAUCUUGUUUCUCAUGGUCUGAGAGUCCUAUAGGUGCCUUUUGGCAAACUUCAAGCAGGCUGUCGUGUGCCUUUUACUGAGGAGUGGCUUCUGUCUGGCCACAUAAAGGCAUGAUUGGUGGAGUGCUGCAGAGAUGGUUGUCCUUCCUGAAGAUUUUCCCAUCUCCACAGAGGAACUCUGGAGCGCUGUCAGAGUGACUAUUGGCUUCUUGGUUACCUCCCUGACAAGGCCCUUCUCCCCCAUUUUCUCAGUUUGGCCAGGCAGCCAGCUCUAGGAAGAGUCUUGGUGGUUUCAAACUUCUUCCAUUUAAGAAUAAUGGAGGCCACUAUGUUCAAUGCUGCAGAACGUUUUUGGCACCCUUCCCCAGAUCUGUGCCUCGACUCGUCUUGGAGCUCUACGGACAAUUCCUUCAACCUCACGGCUUGGUUUUUCCUCCGACAUGCACUGUCAACUGUGUCCAAUCAAUUGAAUUUACCACAGGUGGACUCCAAUCAAGUUGUAGAAACAUCUCAAGGAUGAUCAAUGGAAACAAGAUGCAGCUGAGCUCAAUUUUGAGUCUCAUAGCAAAGGGUGUGAAUACUUAUGUAAAUAAGGUAUUUAUGUUUUAUUUUUAAAAUAAAUUUACAUAAGUGUUUUCGAAUUGUCAUUAUCAGGUAUUGUGUGUAGAUUGAGGAGGAAAAAUGUGAUUUAAUCAAUUUUAGAGAAAGGCUGUAACAUGUCAAAAUGUGGAAAAGGGGAAGGUGUCUGAAUACUUUCCAAAUGCACUGUAUGCCCCUUCGUGAGAUGGGUGUUUUUCCCCAAGUGUGUGCUGUGCCCGGCCAGAACCUUGGACACUUACAUUACACAGGCAAUACGACAGUCUGAUUGGCUAUUCGUUUUCUAUAGUGAGAGAGUUCUGGGACAGAGCCUACAGAGCCUAAAGACUCACAUUGGAUUGUGGACAUUAUUACUGCAGUAUAUUGGCUGGACAGCCAGCCUCUGACCUCUGUUGUAGUAGCGUAUUCUAUUAGAGGAGUAGCUACAUGGUGGGCCCUGCUCUGAGGAGUUUCCCCUCAAUUACAUUUUCGCCUCGGCCAGUUUGGCAUCGUAUAGCACUUUUUCUAGGUACAAUUGAGUCAAUGUUACCCCCGCCAAUAAGGUUGGGACGGCUGUGCUGGGUGUUGCCUCCUCUUCCCUGAGUGGGGACGGAGGGACACAGCAACUAUGACUGCCCUGAGCUCAGUUCAAAUCAGAUCAAAUCAAAUGUAUUUAUAUAGCCCUUCGUACAUCAGCUGAUAUCUCAAAGUGCUGUACAGAAACCCAGCCUAAAACCCCAAACAGCAAGCAAUGCAGGUGUAGAAGCACGGUGGCUAGGAAAAACUCCCUAGAAAGGCCAAAACCUAGGAAGAAACCUAGAGAGGAACCAGGCUAUGUGGGGUGGCCAGUCCUCUUCUGGCUGUGCCGGGUGGAGAUUAUAACAGAACAUGGCCAAGAUGUUCAAAUGUUUAUAAAUGACCAGCAUGGUCCAAUAAUAAUAAGGUAGAACAGUUGAAACUGGGGCAGCAGCACGGUCAGGUGGACUGGGGACAGCAAGGAGUCAUCAUGUCAGGUAGUCCUGGGGCAUGGUCCUAGGGCUCAGGUCCUCCGAGAGAGAGAAAGAAAGAGGAGGAGAGAAUUAGAGAACGCACACUUAGAUUCACACAGGACACCGAAUAGGACAGGAGAAGUACUCCAGAUAUAACAAACUGACCCUAGCCCCCCAACACAAACUACUGCAGCAUAAAUACUGGAGGCUGAGACAGGAGGGGUCAGGAGACACUGUGGCCCCAUCCGAGGACACCCCCGGACAGGGCCAAACAGGAAGGAUAUAACCCCACCCACUUUGCCAAAGCACAGCCCCAGUUCUAUGGGACUUUGUUCUCUGUCUGGCCCUUACAUAGUUUACAGAUUAAACUUGUAUUGUGAUACCAUAUUGGAGUGAUCCAAUAUAGUGCUACAUAACGAAGGUUAAAUAUGUAACUGUCAUGAGAAUUUUCAAUCCCAAUGAUAAUAACUGACAAUCAAUAGCUUUGACCAAUCCCUGAGAUCUGUAAGACCAUGGGUUUAACAAUAAUUAGUCAAAGACUCAGCUUAUGCAAAAAGAUAGUACAGUUUAUUCAGAGAACGUUCUAAAGUCCAUUAUACAAAGACAUCCAUUUUAUAGAUGCGCACAUACUUCCACACAAACAUUAGGUAUCCUACGCACAUACUUCCACACAAACAGUAGGUAUCCUACGCACAUACUUCCACACAAACAGUAGGUAUCCUACGCACAUACUUCCACACAAACAGUAGAUAUCCUACGCACAUACUUCCACACAAACAGUAGGUAUCUUACGCACAUAUUUCCACACAAACAGUAGGUAUCCUACGCACAUACUUCCACACAAACAGUAGGUAUCCUACGCACAUACUUCCACACAAACAGUAGGUAUCCUACGCACAUACUUCCACACAAACAGUAGGUAUCCUACGCACAUACUUCCACACAAACAGUAGGUAUCCUACGCACAUACUUCCACACAAACAGUAGGUAUCCUACGCACAUACUUCCACACAAACAGUAGGUAUCCUACGCACAUACUUCCACACAAACAGUAGGUAUCCUACGCACAUACUUCCACACAAACAGUAGGUAUCCUACGCACAUACUUCCACACAAACAGUAGGUAUCCUACGCACAUACUUCCACACAAACAGUAGGUAUCCUACGCACAUACUUCCACACAGACAGUAGGUAUCCUACGCACAUACUUCCACACAAACAGUAGGUAUCCUACGCACAUACUUCCACACAAACAGUAGGUAUCCUACGCACAUACUUCCACACAAACAGUAGGUAUCCUACGCACAAACUUCCACACAAUCAGUAGGUGCGUUUUAUCUCCAUAGUUCUCACCACUGUGUGUCACUGCCUAGCCGACAGUUCCAUUCCCCUGAGAUGAGGGAAACCUUGAGAAGUACUCCCUGUCCUCAUAAGUUUCUCCAUAGUUCUCACCACUGUGUAUCACUACCCAGCCGACAGUUCCAUUCCCCCGAGAUUAGGGAAACCUUGAGAAGUACUCCCUGUGCUCUCAUAGGUUCCUCAGAGUUCCUGCCAGGUCGGUCCAAACACAGUUGAACUGUUCUCUGUAUUUUCUUCGGCACACACACAAGUUCAAAUCCUGAGCUACGCCUUGCUUAGACAGUCUGUGUUUUUCCACUAUACAGAUACAUUGUUUAACCUAAUUCCGGCAAAAACUACACACAUCAUCGGAUUAUAAUUUUAUGAUUCUAAUCAAUUUCAUACAGUUAUAAGGUUUCAGAGUGGAAUUAUGUAAUCAUUAUCUUUCAACAUUAAAAUUAUUUUAUCAGUAACCACGGUUAUGUCUGCUACCGGAUCACUCCAAUCCUCUUUGUCGGUGAUCUAUGGCACCUCGAAAA